GUGCCAGCAGCCGCGGUAAUACAGAGGUCCCGAGCGUUGUUCGGAUUCACUGGGCGUAAAGGGUGCGUAGGUGGUGGGGUAAGUCUCGUGUGAAAGCUCGCAGCUUAACUGCGAAAAGUCACGGGAUACUAUUCCGCUGGAGGCUUGGAGGGGGGACUGGAAUACUUGGUGUAGCAGUGAAAUGCGUAGAUAUCAAGUGGAACACCAGUGGCGAAGGCGAGUCCCUGGACAAGACCUGACACUGAGGCACGAAAGCCAGGGGAGCAAACAGGAUUAGAAACCCCAGUAGUCC
RNAcentral lists this ribosomal RNA (292 nucleotides) under uncultured bacterium. RNAcentral describes it as "partial 16S ribosomal RNA". It matches the Rfam family "Bacterial small subunit ribosomal RNA", at positions 505 to 796 of the family's 1533-position model. The record is from RNAcentral.